ACUCGAUAAUCCACGACCAUCUUACCCCUUCUAGAUUAAUCAGCUUGUGUACUGCCGUCGUAAGCACACCUCUAAAAGCAACUCAGUAUGCAAAUAUGACUAACCCUCAUUUACGUCAGGUCAAAGUGCAGCUAAUGAUGGGGUGAUGAUGGGUUACACCCUAAACACAGACACGAAAUAUAGUCUCAAAAACUAUGUAAAGGUGGACUUGGAUGUAAUUAUAAUCCAAAAUUACAAUGAAAUUGAAUCUAAGGCAUGCACACAUCGCCCGUCACUCUCGCCCAAAGGCGAGAUAAGUCGUAACAAAGUAGGUGUAACGGAAGUUGCACCUGUCGAAGUAUAGCAUAUAUAAUGCUUUUUACUUACACUAAAAAUAAAACCUUCAGUUUACUUCGCAUACCCACUAUAAUCUUACAAAACAUAACUAAUCAAAAUAAUAUAAAAUCAAUCCAAUUUCAAACAAAAAAUUAAUGAGUACUAUAAAGGAAAUAAAAUUUUUAACUUAAAGUAGUGAUAUUUCACGUACCUUGUGCAUUAUGGUUUUACAAGCCAAAAAUUUAAAAUUCUAUCCCGAAUCCUACGCGAGCUGUUCAUCUAUAGCUAAGAGCCCACUACUAGUUGUAGCACCAACUUUAGAAAAUACCUGAACAGAGGCUACAUACCAUGCGCGCUAGAACAUUGCUGGUUUUCAGCUAAAUUUAUAAAUUAAUACAUAUAAUAAAAUUAUACUGUAAGAUUUCAGAGGAUAAGCCCUGUAAUCCUAAGCCAAUAUUCUCAUAUUAAACUACGUAGGCUUAAAACCAGCCAUCGACAAUACUUUACCGUAUAAUAUCUUUAAUAAAUUAUAUCCUGUGCCCCAUAAAGCUGACAUUUAAGAAAAAUUAAAAAUCUUAAACUAAUCUGUAAAAAUAAGUAUUAGUAAAUCACCUAAAUUCUCCUCAUGAACCUCCUAAUUUACCACCCAUAUAAACACUUAUAAAGGAACUCGGCAAAUAUUAUUUCGACUGUUUAACAAAAACAUUGCUUCUUGCAUGCUCUGAUAAGAAGUA
RNAcentral lists this ribosomal RNA (1049 nucleotides) under Eisenia andrei. RNAcentral describes it as "partial 12S ribosomal RNA". The stretch from base 1 to 345 matches the Rfam family "Bacterial small subunit ribosomal RNA", at positions 949 to 1533 of the family's 1533-position model. The record is from RNAcentral. Lineage: Eukaryota; Metazoa; Annelida; Clitellata; Crassiclitellata; Lumbricidae.